This 445-nucleotide ribosomal RNA is filed under the name uncultured bacterium. Its description in RNAcentral is "partial 16S ribosomal RNA". It matches the Rfam family "Bacterial small subunit ribosomal RNA", at positions 354 to 796 of the family's 1533-position model. The record is from RNAcentral.
GUGAGGAAUAUUGGUCAAUGGGCGAGAGCCUGAACCAGCCAAGUCGCGUGAAGGAUGAAGGUUUUAUGAAUUGUAAACUUCUUUUGCAGGGGAAUAAAGUACGGUACGUGUACCGUUUUGUAUGUACUCUGCGAAUAAGGAUCGGCUAACUCCGUGCCAGCAGCCGCGGUAAUACGGAGGAUCCGAGCGUUAUCCGGAUUUAUUGGGUUUAAAGGGUGCGUAGGUGGUUUGAUAAGUCAGCGGUGAAAGUUUGCAGCUUAACUGUAAAAAUGCCGUUGAAACUGUCGGACUUGAGUGUAAAUGAGGUAGGCGGAAUGCGUGGUGUAGCGGUGAAAUGCAUAGAUAUCACGCAGAACUCCGAUUGCGAAGGCAGCUUACUAAGCUACAACUGACACUGAAGCACGAAAGCGUGGGGAUCAAACAGGAUUAGAUACCCCGGUAGUCC